GGGAAAAGGAACCGACUAAGACGU
RNAcentral lists this non-coding RNA (24 nucleotides) under Arabidopsis thaliana (thale cress). The record is from RNAcentral. Lineage: Eukaryota; Viridiplantae; Streptophyta; Magnoliopsida; Brassicales; Brassicaceae.